Molecule: transfer RNA, 76 nt
Filed under: Candidatus Woesebacteria bacterium CG22_combo_CG10-13_8_21_14_all_39_10
Lineage: Bacteria; Candidatus Woeseibacteriota
Description: tRNA-Pro
Rfam family: tRNA
About the family: Transfer RNA (tRNA) molecules are approximately 80 nucleotides in length. Their secondary structure includes four short double-helical elements and three loops (D, anti-codon, and T loops).
Source: RNAcentral
CGGAGUGUGGCUCAGUUGGUAGAGCGCCGCGUUUGGGACGCGGAGGUCCCCGGUUCGAGUCCGGGCACUCCGACCA